Molecule: long non-coding RNA, 451 nt
Organism: Gorilla gorilla gorilla (western lowland gorilla)
Lineage: Eukaryota; Metazoa; Chordata; Mammalia; Primates; Hominidae
Exons: 2
Source: RefSeq, a predicted model, not a curated record
AUGUGCAACUCAACAGUAAAAAAGGAAAUAUAUGAAGAUAAUAUAAGCCACACUGUAAUUCUUAAUCAUGCUUACAUUUUUGAAACUGAAACCUAACCUUAAGUCAAGUGAUAGGAGAAUGAUGUGUAUUUACUGCAUUUGGACACCCAGGAGAGUCAUGCAUGGGCAGAAACCAUAGAAGCUACUCAAGAGGAGAGCAAGUCUGAAUGUUUUCUCCAUGCCAGGUGCUGUGCUCAAAGCUUUGCAUACAAUCUCAUUUAAUCCUCACAGCAAUCUACUACCGUCUCCAUUUCAUAGUUUAGAAACUGUGGCUUCAAGAGGCGAAGUGAACUGCUCAAGGUCACAUAAGGGUAAGUGACAGAAUUUGGACUCAAACCCAGGACAGAUUUCAAAACCCAGAUUCUUAUAAUGUAUGCUACUGUAAUCAGUUCAUUAAAGGAAUGAAUGGAAA